UCAAAAUGUCCUGUCACGAUUCCUGAGGAUCAAAAGAAGUUUAUUGACCAAGUGGUAGAGAAAAUAGAGGAUUUAUUACAAAGUGAAGAAAACAAGAACUUGGAUUUAGAGCCAUGUACCGGGUUCCAAAGAAAACUAAUUUAUCAGACUUUGAGCUGGAAGUAAGUAUUUAUAUUGUAUGCAGCAGCUCUGUGGGGGACCCAGGAUUUAAAGACUAAAUAUAAUCUCUUAGUUCUCAUUUCCUUUUUGAAAUUCUGCGGUUCUCAGUGAUUUGACUACAUGAAGUUCCCCCUACUUUCUUAAGUUGAAUACUCACUUAAUUUUCUUUUGUUAUU
This 335-nucleotide long non-coding RNA is filed under the name Homo sapiens (human). RNAcentral's name for it is "non-protein coding lnc-PLA2G10-7:1". Lineage: Eukaryota; Metazoa; Chordata; Mammalia; Primates; Hominidae. The record is from RNAcentral.